Molecule: ribosomal RNA, 457 nt
Filed under: uncultured bacterium
Lineage: Bacteria
Description: bacterial SSU rRNA
Rfam family: Bacterial small subunit ribosomal RNA
Source: RNAcentral
UACGGAAGGCAGCAGUGGGGAAUAUUGCACAAUGGGCGCAAGCCUGAUGCAGCCAUGCCGCGUGUAUGAAAAAGGCCUUCGGGUUGUAAAGUACUUUCAGUCGUGAGGAAGGUGUUAAGGUUAAUAACCUUAGCAAUUGACGUUAGCGACAGAAGAAGCACCGGCUAACUCCGUGCCAGCAGCCGCGGUAAUACGGAGGGUGCGAGCGUUAAUCGGAAUUACUGGGCGUAAAGGGCACGCAGGCGGUUAAUUAAGUUGGAUGUGAAAUCCCCGGGCUUAACCUGGGAAUGGCAUUCAAGACUGGUUAGCUAGAGUCUUGUAGAGGGGGUAGAAUUCCAUGUGUAGCGGUGAAAUGCGUAGAGAUGUGGAGGAAUACCGGUGGCGAAGGCGGCCCCUGGACAAAGACUGACGCUCAUGUGCGAAAGCGUGGGGAGCAAACAGGGAUUUAGAUACCCGU